Molecule: ribosomal RNA, 253 nt
Filed under: uncultured bacterium
Lineage: Bacteria
Description: partial 16S ribosomal RNA
Rfam family: Bacterial small subunit ribosomal RNA
Source: RNAcentral
UACGUAGGGUGCAAGCGUUGUUCGGAAUUACUGGGCGUAAAGGGCUCGUAGGUGGCCAACUAAGUCAGACGUGAAAUCCCUCGGCUUAACCGGGGAACUGCGUCUGAUACUGGAUGGCUUGAGAUUGGGAGAGGGAUGCGGAAUUCCAGGUGUAGCGGUGAAAUGCGUAGAUAUCUGGAGGAACACCGGUGGCGAAGGCGGCAUCCUGGACCAACACUGACACUGAGGAGCGAAAGCCAGGGGAGCAAACGGG